AACGAACGCUGGCGGCAUGCCUAACACAUGCAAGUCGAACGAGACCUCCCGGCCUAGUUGCGCACGUGUGCGUACCGCGUGGUAACCUGCCCUUAGGUUCCCUAUCCCUCCCUUUAAGGUAUCUUCAUACCACUUAAUGUCUUCCGACCUAAGAUGUCUGGCUUUUGGGUGGGCCCGCGUUGGUUUGGCUAGUUGGUAGGGUAAUAGCCUCCCAAGGCGUCGAUCCAUGGCUGGUCGGAGAAGAGGAUCAGCCGGACUGGAACUGAGACACGGCCCAGACUCGGACGGAAGGGAGCAGUAGAGAAUAUUAGGGGAUGAACGAAAGUCUAAUCAAGCAAUGCGGCGUAAGAGAUGAAGGCCGUAGGGUUGUAAAGCUCUUUGAGCCGAGAUGAUAGUGACAGUACCGGGUGAAUAAGCACCGGCUAACUACGUG
Molecule: ribosomal RNA, 433 nt
Filed under: uncultured bacterium
Lineage: Bacteria
Description: partial 16S ribosomal RNA
Rfam family: Bacterial small subunit ribosomal RNA
Source: RNAcentral